Molecule: ribosomal RNA, 273 nt
Filed under: uncultured bacterium
Lineage: Bacteria
Description: partial 16S ribosomal RNA
Rfam family: Bacterial small subunit ribosomal RNA
Source: RNAcentral
UCCUGAUGGUGCAAGCGUGACUCGGAAUCACUGGGCGUAAAGGAUGCGUAGGCUGGAAAUCAAGUCGAGAGUGAAAUCCAACGGCUCAACCGUUGAACUGCUCUCGAAACUGGUUACCUAGAAUAUGGGAGAGGUAGAUGGAAUUAGUGGUGUAGGGGUAAAAUCCGUAGAUAUCACUAGGAAUACCGAUUGCGAAGGCGAUCUACUGGAACAGUAUUGACGCUGAGGCAUGCAAGCGGGGGGCGCACACAGGCGGCGAUCACCGCGUAGUCC